This 467-nucleotide long non-coding RNA is filed under the name Homo sapiens (human). Its description in RNAcentral is "long non-coding RNA NONHSAT203080.1". Lineage: Eukaryota; Metazoa; Chordata; Mammalia; Primates; Hominidae. The record is from RNAcentral.
GAGGGAUUUUCGCUGUGUUUCCCAAGUGGGCCUCGAACUCCUGGGCUCAAGUGAUACCCCCCACCUCAGCCUCGUGACUAGCUGGGAUUAAAGGUGUGCACCACUGCAACUGACUUUCAAUUCCUUUCUGACCAAAAUCUUUUAUUUCUAAAAAGAAAUCAAAGAAGUUAAAAUUCUAUAAAUGAUUAGUUACUGCUGUGCUUAAUUUAAAUGUUAUUUAUGAUUAUUUUUAUAGCUAAGAUCAUUGUUUCAUCUUUAGACAUCAAUGACCUCUUUAUAUAUUAAUGCUAUAAAAUGUUUCUUUGAUAAUUAUUUUUGAUAUUGCUUUUCCUAAAUAUAGGUUCCAAACACUUCAUAAUAAAAAUUUUAAGAUAUUAUUUUGUCUUAACUAUCUUUGGGGUUUCCCAGGAGUCUUCUGAGACACAAAAGAUUUGUUCCAAACUUUAUUAAAUGAAUAAUGCUACAAA